UACGAGGGCUCCAAGCGUUAUCCGGAUUUAUUGGGCGUAAAGAGUGUGUAGGAGGAUUUUUAAGUUUAAUGUUAAAUCUCGGGGCUCAACUUCGAGGCCGCAUUGAAUACUGAAAAUCUAGAGUGUGCAAGAGGCUAAUAGAACUCAUGGUGUAGGGGUGAAAUCCGUUGAUAUCAUGGGGAAUACCAAAGGCGAAGGCAUUUAGCUGGUGCAUUACUGACUCUCAAGCACGAAAGCGUGGGGAGCAAAAAGG
RNAcentral lists this ribosomal RNA (253 nucleotides) under uncultured bacterium. Its description in RNAcentral is "partial 16S ribosomal RNA". It matches the Rfam family "Bacterial small subunit ribosomal RNA", at positions 524 to 776 of the family's 1533-position model. The record is from RNAcentral.